AGUGAGGUGGCAGAUUUAAUGCGGUAAGUUUAAGCCUUGUGUAUGAAGAUUUAUCUUUCCUUGCUU
Molecule: transfer RNA, 66 nt
Filed under: Bathymodiolus manusensis
Lineage: Eukaryota; Metazoa; Mollusca; Bivalvia; Mytilida; Modiolidae
Description: tRNA-Leu
Source: RNAcentral